UGUGUGUGUGUGUAUCGGGUGAGAGAGCAGUUGCACGUCUGUAAAUGUAAAUGCUGCAUGUGAAUGUGAAGCUGAGGACAAAGACAGAGCUGCUUUGUUCUCCAUGACAGAAAAAGCCUCUGCAGCUCCUGAAAUGGCGGCAGGAGGAAGGAGGCUGAGGAGGGAGGACUGGAACACCCGGAGCGGAGUCGGGGCUCAGGAUGGAUCUGGAGUCUGAUGUGGUUUCAGGUUUUUUCACGUUGAGAUGAGCUCCUACAUCAUCCUGGGGGACAGAGGUGUCCGGUUUUUGCAGCCGCGGACAGAUCAUGAGACAACGGGCCCCUGGACACAGUAAAAGCCCCGCCCCCUGCAGAGGAGCGUCCUUUAUGGUCGUUCUGAGUCUCUUUGGAAAUGUUUUGUCUCUGAGUCAUUUUCUGGGGGGCGGAGUCGAGGGUCCCUUGAACCCAAUCAGAGAAGGAAACAUCACUCUCCUGGUUCCCCAGCUUGGGAACAACUGUACUGGAGGGAAAAUGAAUCUAUCAGGUUAGACUUCCAGUGAGACGUUCUCCAGCGAGACCGAUCAUGUCUCAGGAGACAGUGUCGGCACCUUCACCUGUCGGUGUCGUACGUGCCGCAGCUUCGCUCUCGCGCCACCCGCAGGUCACGUUUUCAUCUCUGGAAUGAGAAUCUGCCUCGUUGUGUCUGUGACAAGCAACUGAAUCAUUUCUGGUGAAAGGGGCGAGACCUGGUGUGUCAGGCUGCGCUCAGCGUUUUCCUGCUCGGGAUAAAAACAAAUAUUUGCCGUUCGUUGGCUUCGGGGCGGAAAUGUGAAGAAUGAGGAAGUGCUGGUGUGUUUGUGUGGAGCGAGCGAGGCGGGCUGCAGGACACGGCCUGCAGGCUCUCAAACAUGUCGGCUGGCCAAGAUCGCUCCGCACACUUCCUGUUUUUCUCCGCAGCUUCACAUUCAAUCUGAAAACAGAAGCAUAAAAACCCCCUGUGAGGCGUUCGAGGUCUGACUGUGAAUCAGAGCAGUGAAAGUGCUGACGGACACGAGCAGACUGACGAUCUGAGCCGCCACAGACAUUAUUACAUAUUCAUACGAUGUAAAAACGACCUUUCACUGAGAGGAGGCUGCUCCGCCAUGUGUUUGCUCAUCUUGUGUUUUGAUCCUUUUUUAAACCUGUUUCAGACUCGCAGGUUUAACGGGUCCGAGCGGUUCUUUCUGUCCACGUUAUUAAUGAUGUGUCAUGUUUCACAUCCUGUCCGUCCUCAGAAUCAGCAGCUGUCGAUAUUUUCUCCCUUUAUGUUCAUCUCCUGACCUGAGAGAACAAUAAAACACUGGAUUUACAGCAGGAAAGUGAAACCAGUGUAAACGCUACAUAAAAGCACCUGGACUUGUAGCCCAGGAUCUAACUGCUCAUGUUUUUCCUCAUUUCUUAUCUUUUUAUCAUCUUCUGUCUCUUCACGGUUUGUUGGAUGUCGAGACAAGCUGCUGCCUCGCUCUCACGCUGCGUCUCCUGUUGGACACACAGUUGGUUUUAAUGUGAAGAAAUGUGUUGAAUCCAGUCAUAUAUAUUAUAAUAUUAUAUAUUCAGUCAUACUGGGACAACAGCAGAAAGAUGCAUCCACAAGCAGCUGAACACAAACUGUGAGAGAAAGACGUGCACUGUUAGGGUGAGUGAUCCUGACCAGGAGCUGGUUUGCUAAGUGCUAACAUUAGCAUGGCGACAGGCUCACAACCCUGAACCACAGUGGUCAAGAUGUUUCAGUCGGUGGACGGACAGACCGACUCUCUUCACAGGGUCAAACAGAGAAGGUCAGAAGGUCGACGACAUUCAACUCUUCACGUUUUACCAUGAAGAUUAGACGAGAGGCACAAACUGCUGCUGCAGCUCGACCUCUCCGAGACUGAGUUAAUCAAUCCAUACGACCUCUUCCUCCAUGUCUGACCACACACACACACACACACACACACACACACACACACACACACACACACACACACACACACACACACACACACACACACACACACACUCUUCAGGAAGGGAGGGGUGGUCGAGGGGGGAGGAGGUAAUUUGAGAUGUAUUUCCUGAGUCUCAUAAAGCAGCAGACUGAAGACCAACGACUGUUUCCGCUGGGUCCUAAUGUCCAUCAGAAAAUACAAAGAAUAAAACCUUCAACCUUCAGGUCUGUCCUCAGCACCUGUCCCUCACCUGUCCCUCACCUGUGAGGUUAACCAGGUUAACACUCUGGUUAAGGUUAAUGAAAGACUGGCACUUUGGUCAAAUGUUAAAUAAAUAAAUUUAAA
This is a long non-coding RNA of Seriola aureovittata, 2290 nucleotides long. RefSeq lists it as uncharacterized. NCBI's taxonomy places the organism in Eukaryota, Metazoa, Chordata, Actinopteri, Carangiformes, Carangidae. The transcript has 3 exons. The record is from RefSeq and is a predicted model, not a curated record.